AGUGAACGCUGGCGGUAGGCCUAACACAUGCAAGUCGAACGGCAGCACAGUAAGAGCUUGCUCUUACGGGUGGCGAGUGGCGGACGGGUGAGGAAUACAUCGGAAUCUACUUUUUCGUGGGGGAUAACGUAGGGAAACUUACGCUAAUGCCGCAUACGACCUACGGGUGAAAGCAGGGGAUCUUCGGACCUUGCGCGAUUGAAUGAGCCGAUGUCGGAUUAGCUAGUUGGCGGGGUAAAGGCCCACCAAGACGACGAUCCGUAGCUGGUCUGAGAGGAUGAUCAGCCACACUGGAACUGAGACACGGUCCAGACUCCUACGGGAGGCAGCAGUGGGGAAUAUUGGACAAUGGGCGCAAGCCUGAUCCAGCCAUACCGCGUGGGUGAAGAAGGCCUUCGGGUUGUAAAGCCCUUUUGUUGGGAAAGAAAAGCAGCAGGUUAAUACCCCGCUGUUCUGACGGUACCCAAAGAAUAAGCACCGGCUAACUUCGUG
This 492-nucleotide ribosomal RNA is filed under the name uncultured bacterium. RNAcentral describes it as "partial 16S ribosomal RNA". It matches the Rfam family "Bacterial small subunit ribosomal RNA", at positions 29 to 507 of the family's 1533-position model. The record is from RNAcentral.